Molecule: ribosomal RNA, 468 nt
Filed under: uncultured bacterium
Lineage: Bacteria
Description: partial 16S ribosomal RNA
Rfam family: Bacterial small subunit ribosomal RNA
Source: RNAcentral
GACGAACGCUGGCGGCGUGCUUAACACAUGCAAGUCGAACGGAAAGGCCCUGCUUUUGUGGGGUGCUCGAGUGGCGAACGGGUGAGUAACACGUGAGUAACCUGCCCUUGACUUUGGGAUAACUUCAGGAAACUGGGGCUAAUACCGGAUAGGAGCUCCUGCUGCGUGGGGGGGGUUGGAAAGUUUCGGCGGUUGGGGAUGGACUCGCGGCUUAUCAGCUUGUUGGUGUGGUAGUGGCUUACCAAGGCUUUGACGGGUAGCCGGCCUGAGAGGGUGACCGGCCACAUUGGGACUGAGAUACGGCCCAGACUCCUACGGGAGGCAGCAGUGGGGAAUAUUGCACAAUGGGCGGAAGCCUGAUGCAGCAACGCCGCGUGCGGGAUGACGGCCUUCGGGUUGUAAACCGCUUUCGCCUGUGACGAAGCGUGAGUGACGGUAAUGGGUAAAGAAGCACCGGCUAACUACGUG